Molecule: unclassified non-coding RNA, 286 nt
Filed under: Hevea brasiliensis (rubber tree)
Lineage: Eukaryota; Viridiplantae; Streptophyta; Magnoliopsida; Malpighiales; Euphorbiaceae
Source: RNAcentral
GUGGAAAGGAAGACAUCAUGUUCUGAAACACCAUCACGUGACCCGAAAUUAAGCAAUUGCGUUAUUUUUAAUAAUUCUAAGAUUUAUAUUAGACUAUUUAAAAAUAUUAGGGCCCAAUAACUUUGUUUAAGAUUCCAAUUAACUAUUUUAAAAUAUUUGAGGGGCUUAAAUGAUCUUUUGACCUUUUUAAAACAAUAAGAACGAAAGAGAAGGCAAGAAAAGAACAAGGAAAAAAACAAGCAAUUUAAAAGUAUUAGUCGCAUAGCAUUCCUAUCAAGUGUUGCUG